RNAcentral lists this small nuclear RNA (66 nucleotides) under Chrysemys picta bellii (western painted turtle). RNAcentral's name for it is "U4 spliceosomal RNA (ENSCPBG00000011632.1)". It matches the Rfam family "U4 spliceosomal RNA", at positions 17 to 81 of the family's 138-position model. From Rfam's summary of the family: U4 small nuclear RNA (U4 snRNA) is a component of the major U2-dependent spliceosome. The record is from RNAcentral. Lineage: Eukaryota; Metazoa; Chordata; Testudines; Emydidae.
AGUAUCAUAGCCAAUGAGGUUAACCCGAGGCGUGAUUAUUGCUAGUUGAAAACUUUGAUCUCUAGC